This is a long non-coding RNA of Nyctereutes procyonoides (raccoon dog), 173 nucleotides long. RefSeq lists it as uncharacterized. NCBI's taxonomy places the organism in Eukaryota, Metazoa, Chordata, Mammalia, Carnivora, Canidae. The transcript is spliced from 3 exons. The record is from RefSeq and is a predicted model, not a curated record.
AAAGAAGAAAGGUUGGGUUCAAAUCCCAGCUCUACUGCUUAACCAGCAAUGUGAAUAAGGAUGAGGCUGCUAAUAGCAAGCAGUGACUCCCAAAGACUCCUGGACCCAGGACAUGAUGGCUGGAGCUCUAAAGGCCUUGUUAGGAAGAUGAAAUAAGAACUUCAGGAUAGAAG